GUUCCUGGAGCGUGCAGUGCAACUGGGAAGGGGCAUUAACCUCCUUGCUUGGGUCUGCUGCUCAGGAAGGUUGUGGCGACGUGGGGGUUUGGCCUCUUUUUCUCGGUAACAGCAUUAGGAUAAGAGUCUCAGGUGACGUUCCUCUGACAGUGCUCAGUGGGCAGCUCUAAUGGGCGCUGCAUGGAGAUCCUUGCAGCAGCAGGUACAAUUGCUGCUCUUCUUACUUGCCUGCAGACGUUCCAAGCGAUCGAGUGUGACACCUUCCUGCAAAUGAGGUGUUGCAUCUGGUGGACACAGCUCCCGAUGAAUAAGAAGGGGAGGAUGAACACUGCAGCCUGAGACAAAGCUCCUCUAUGAACUGACUCGUGGAGGGUGGAUAUGUAAGGAUUCGUCACGCAGACCUUCUGUUUUCGCCUCCUUUGUCAAGCAAAAUAACAGAAUUCCUUGGACCGUCGGAAACAGAUAAUACCCAAAAUAUUUCAACAAGAUGAGACCACAAUAGUUACUUUAUUAUCUUAAUUGAGAAUCUUGAGACAGCCCAAUUAUUCUAACAAUGGGAGAGUGGUUGCCUAGCCUGUCUGCUUCUAGCCAAUCCAGUUUUCAUUUACUGAGAAAUGUAUGGUGAAUACUGUGACAAGUUUAGCAACUGCAGAUUUUUCAUCAGUUAAGAUUCUCUUUUCCAGCAAACACGAGAGCUUUUCUUCAAGUGUCUGUGCAUUUACUCCUACCAAAGAUUCUUUUGUUUGUUUGUUUGUUUAAAGGAGUGUAUGAUGUCAUCUUUUAUUCAAAAUUCUGCUAGUCCUGCUAAACCAGCAACUCACCCUUUGCUAGAUAUAUCUCAGACUGAAGUCAUCUUGUGUGCAUCAGACUAAGGCUCAAAUGCUGGGAGCUGGUUGGUCAUGCAGUGCAGCUUGUAUGACUGCCAAUUUGGGUGCAUCCCGUGCCUGUGUGCAGAGAGCCGGGUGCCAGACUUCCACGUCGUUUGGAGAAAGGUCACCUGUUUCCCCUGUUAGCACACUUGCUUGUUGAUUGUUUAUAAAGGCUGGGAAUUAGCUUAGCUGUCCUUGUCCUUUGAAGAAGAUGCAAUGUUCAUUGCUGUUCACCAAGAUGUGGAAGACAGAGAUUGGUUUGUGUAGUCCCAUGUUCAAGAAGAAAAGUCUUUGUCGCAGUGUUCAAAGUUUAAAUUGUGCCUUCACAUAAUAAAGCUUUGUUUUUCCUGGGGAA
This is a long non-coding RNA of Gallus gallus (chicken), 1224 nucleotides long. RefSeq lists it as uncharacterized. The record is from RefSeq and is a predicted model, not a curated record. NCBI's taxonomy places the organism in Eukaryota, Metazoa, Chordata, Aves, Galliformes, Phasianidae. The transcript is spliced from 3 exons.